Molecule: ribosomal RNA, 460 nt
Filed under: uncultured bacterium
Lineage: Bacteria
Description: partial 16S ribosomal RNA
Rfam family: Bacterial small subunit ribosomal RNA
Source: RNAcentral
CCUACGGGAGGCAGCAGUGAGGAAUAUUGGUCAAUGGACGAGAGUCUGAACCAGCCAAGUAGCGUGAAGGAUGACUGCCCUAUGGGUUGUAAACUUCUUUUAUAUGGGAAUAAAAUGUUCCACGUGUGGGAUUUUGUAUGUACCAUAUGAAUAAGGAUCGGCUAAAUCCGUGCCAGCAGCCGCGGUAAUACGGAGGAUCCGAGCGUUAUCCGGAUUUAUUGGGUUUAAAGGGAGCGUAGGUGGAUUGUUAAGUCAGUUGUGAAAGUUUGCGGCUCAACCGUAAAAUUGCAGUUGAAACUGGCAGUCUUGAGUACAGGAGAGGUGGGCGGAAUUCGUGGUGUAGCGGUGAAAUGCUUAGAUAUCACGAAGAACUCCGAUUGCGAAGGCAGUUCACUGGACUGCAACUGACACUGAGGCUCGAAAGUGUGGGUAUCAAACAGGAUUAGAUACCCUAGUAGUC